Long non-coding RNA from Felis catus (domestic cat), 966 nucleotides. RefSeq lists it as uncharacterized. The transcript is spliced from 3 exons. NCBI's taxonomy places the organism in Eukaryota, Metazoa, Chordata, Mammalia, Carnivora, Felidae. The record is from RefSeq and is a predicted model, not a curated record.
UACUGAAGAUCUGGAAACAAUUUCUCUUAUGGUAACUAUACAAACUCUUUGAAAUUACACAGUUCAACCCCCUUACUUUAUAGAUAAUACAUCUAAAACCCUCAGAGGUUAACUUCCUUGUUCAAGUUCAGCAGCUAUUUAUAAGCAGGCUACCCCAUUAUGUAGGUCUGUUGAAGGAGGAGUACUACAUAAUGCUUGCAUUUAUUUCUUAUAGAAAUGACCACAAAUUUACUGGCUUAAAAUACCCAAAAUUUAUUUUCCCAUAGUCUGGAGGCCAGCAAUGUGAAAUCAGUUUCACUGGGCCACAGUCAAGGAGACAGUAAAGCUGUACUCCCUCCAAAAGUUCUCUGGGAGACUCCAAAGCUUGACUCUUCCAGAUUCCGUGGCUGCCAGCAUUCUUGGUUUGUAGCAGCAUCGCUCCAGUCUCUGCUUCUGCAAUCCCACGGCCCCUCCUCUUCUAUCUGUGUCAAAUCUUUCUCUAUCUUUCUCUUAUAGGGACCUCUGUGAUGGCAGUUAGCACCCACCUGGAUAAUCCUGAAUAACCUCUCCCUUUCAGGAUGGUUAAGCACAUCUGCAAAGAGUCCUUUUCCAUGUAAGGAAGAGAAAUGCGGGCCAGGACAGUUGCAGAGGGAAGACAGUGCAAACAUGUGGAGACAAGCAUCCACGAGCCCAGGAGAGAAGCUUUCGGAGGAGACAGCAUUGCUGGCACCUUGGUCUCAGACCUGUAGCUUCCAGAACUGUGAGAAGAAGAUUUCGGCUGGUCAAGGCACCCAGGCUGUGGUACUUUGUAUGCCAGCCCUAGCAGACUCGGACGACAGCAUAUGGCAUUAAGGAGCAGUUACGGUCUACAUUUUUCCACCUUCCACCGGUUUCUGAAACCCAUGUGGCCCGUGUGCCAUGACUCACAUGCGAUGCGCACAUAGGCCUUCCUGCUCUUUGUGGUGCCCGCCGAGCUCCAGGCCACAC